CCUUCGAUAGCUCAGUUGGUAGAGCGGUGGACUGUAGAAAUUUCAAAAAUGUGUAGAUAUCCAUAGGUCGCUGGUUCAAAUCCGGCUCGAAGGA
RNAcentral lists this transfer RNA (94 nucleotides) under Musca domestica (house fly). It matches the Rfam family "tRNA". Rfam says of the family: Transfer RNA (tRNA) molecules are approximately 80 nucleotides in length. Their secondary structure includes four short double-helical elements and three loops (D, anti-codon, and T loops). Lineage: Eukaryota; Metazoa; Arthropoda; Insecta; Diptera; Muscidae. The record is from Rfam by way of RNAcentral.